Molecule: long non-coding RNA, 4712 nt
Organism: Monomorium pharaonis (pharaoh ant)
Lineage: Eukaryota; Metazoa; Arthropoda; Insecta; Hymenoptera; Formicidae
Exons: 2
Source: RefSeq, a predicted model, not a curated record
GUAUCGUACGGAUUAAUAGAUAUUUUAAAUACUAGCGUAAGAUAUUUAUAAAAAGAAAAGUUCACAAUAUUACUAACUCGGUACGUAUCUAGAUUUUCGAUCUCUCAUUUCGGCGAUUCGGAGCUGGAAAAUAUCUUCCUGCGAGUCGUAUAUUCAGAAACAAUUUCGCUGCCUCACAGUGUUCUGUAUACAGCACAAGACAAAAAAUGUAGACAACAUAAAGAGAACAAAAAUAGACAGGUAAUCUUUAUGCAUAUCACUGUGUUAGUAGUGCAGAAUGUAAGAGAAUAACCACAUUGAAAAUUUCCAUAGAAAUACAACAAGUUCUAUAAAAAUGAAAAUUCAAAGCUAAGAACAAAACAAUUUAUCUUUGUCAUAUCCUGUAUGUUACCUAUUGGGUGAGACAUCGUGGCUACACUAGCUCUUUUCCUAGCUACCUAAAAAAAGUUGAUGAAAAAUAAAACAAAAUAAUUAAUCGACGGAACAAAGUUAAAAAAUAAAUAAAAGUGCAACUUAUGAGAGAUGCAUAUUAUACAUAUUAGGUAAGAUGUCUUACUAAGCUACUGUUAACAACGUAAUUUGCCUGACAUUUCUAGACCAAAAUCACUCCUCAAAUUUUCUCGCUUAACUUGCAUCCACAUCGCGCAAUUCUGCUUCAUUUGGCAAGCAAUAUGAUCCCUUAAUUGUCAUUAUUCGUAUUAUUCGCUGCAUCGUUAUUAUUUUUACGCUUGCGCUUCUGACAAUUCUUCUUCUAUAUACUUGAUCCUGUAAUUAGAAAUAGUUAUAUAAGGAUAUAAGACAUAUAAAUGCAACGAUUAAUAAUUUCAGGAAAAUACAUUCUCUUAUUGCUGAUUAAAUGUCGAUAAUAAACGUAAGAGAGAAAGAAGCAAACGUUGCGAUACGUAUAUGUACAUUUUUUCGUCGCGUUUAUUGGUCUUCAUGUUAAAUUGAGUUCUAAUGCCGAUGUCGCAUGCAUUGGGCUUAUAUUUUGUAUUCUUCAGUAUUUUUCAGCACAGCCAUAUUUUCUUUCGGUUUUCAUAUUAAAGGGAUCCAACUAAAUUAACAUAGAUCUCGCGUUACUUCUCCGAUCUAUCGUAAAUUUCACUUUUAUUACAUAUACAUGUAUAUAAGUGUCUUACUGUCAACACAUGGGAUACAAUGCUUUUUCCGAGCGCUAAACCAACAAUAUUGACGCCAGCCGGUCUCUCAAACCCGUAUGUGCAUUCAUUUUGACGUUGAUAUAAAUUUCUCAAGCGAGAAAUACGAUUAAACUGGUAUCGCUAUUUUUCUUUUUUGUUUGUAGUUAAACCGUUACCAUAUAGUUAAAUAUAUAAUUGCAAUGAAAUGUUACUUUGUCAGUUUUCAACAUAAAUGCGUUUAAGUUGUAAUAAAGUUUACAAGAUUUUUUAGGCAUCGUUAUUUCUAGCCUUUUACAUCGAUAAAACUUUCCUAUGUUGAAGUCUAAUGUACGAAAUAUAUUUAAUUUUAAAAUACUUUAUUUGAUUUUUUGAUAUUUAAUUUUAAAAUACUUUAUACGCUUUAAUUGUAAGCACUUAUAUAUUAUUAUACUUACAAUUCAGAACAUUUCGAGCAAUCAAUUUGACCGAGAAUAAGUUUGUAUUUACUUACAACGGGAUAAAAAAAUUUAUGCAUUAGAGUAUAUACAUGUAACAUUAAGUUAAAGACCGUUUUAUUAUAUAAGUUUAAAUAUUUCGGUUGUAGUAUACAGUCCUUGAUUUAUAUGUAUAUGUAUAAGUGCGAUGGAUUGUUAGUCGAUGUUAUCGUUUGUACUCCGAGUCUUGAACAGACAACUUGUCAUGUCAUUAUUUGAAUUCAAUUAUUUUUCAAAACAUGUUUGCGCAACAAAUACUACGAGUAAUUUUUUGCAAAAACUAAGUUUGUUUAAGUCUAUAAAAUUAUUACUUCUUAACAUUCAUAUAGUAUGCUUUCCAGCAAGACACAGUGUAACACAGUGUCUACUAGUGUGAAUGAGACACACUGAUAUGUUCUUUCUCACACUGUGUUACACUGUGUCUAGCUGAAAAGCACACAUAGGCAAAUAAUGAUUCUUUUUAUUUACAAGUAUUACAUGCACUUGUAAUUUAAAUGUAAUUUGCCGAAUUGAGAGCAUGCCGUAAAGCACGAAAAGCUGGUAACGCAAAUAAUUGUACAGAAAAAUCGCACGGUAUAUAUUCAUAUCAUAUUUAUUAAUAACAUAAAUACAAAAACUUAAAUACAAAAAAAAUAUUUAGGCGAGAAUUUAGCGAAUUAUUGAAUAAUUCGUAAUUUAAUAGCUCAUUUGCAUGCAGGUCAAUCUUUUAAUCAUUAAUAAUAUUUUGUGCAUGUAAUAUUACUUCAAGAAUCUCGAAAUAUCUGCUUCGAUAUAUAAUGAUCGUUGUUACAAAUAUUUAAUGGUAUAAACUAAUUCCGCUUGUGAUAUCAAAAAUAUAAGGUUGCAACGAAACUCUAUGAAAUAAAGAAAACAAUAAAGUUCACUUAUCAGAUGAUAUAUAUAAAAUGUAAAAUGAAUUACUUGGCGUUUACUUAUUUCUACAAUAUUUGUAGCCAUGACUAUAAUACCUAUGCAUAUUACACGUCAAAUAUUUUGGUAAAAAAACUUGGUCAAGUAUCUAUAUCCCUUUGCUUCACAGUGAUAGCUUGAUAUAUAUGGUCAGCAUUUUUUUUUUUUUUUUUUUUUUUUUAAGCAAAUUAAAGUUUGCAUAGAGGUUCAGAAGAAAUCUUCCCUCCCACGGGUACGACCUUGUCGUGGUGGGAGGGCUCAGUACCCCGAGGGCUUGAAUGCCUGUGGGGGAAGCUAACUGUACCCAUUGCACUUAUUAAGUUUGUUUUUUAUUCCUGCACUGCUACACUAGUGCAAUAAGUAAGAAUGAGAAAAAAAAUAUUUGUCUUAUUGCAAUAUCUAACUUAUUGCACCAGUGCAGCAGUGCAGGAAUAAAAAACAAACCUAUUACGUCGUUGAUCGUAAAAUUGUGGUUCGUCGCGCCGUGUUAACGCGGUUCGGGAGUGCCGACCGAUUGAAUUGAAAACGAACCGUAGCCGGCUCAUCGUGUCGCGCGUUUGCUUCGGGAGUGUCGUUCAAGUAAAUGGACUAAAAGGGCUGUCUAGUCUAAUUAGUUCUACGCGCGAUCGUAGUAUAUUCGGUUAUUUGCAAGUGUCCUGUGCAACGAGAGGAGGAGGAGGCCUGGGAAAGGCAUUGGGCCCCGGCAGAGCAACUUUGGGAAUCAUCGUAGCGACGUUGCUGAAUAUCUCUGCCGCUGCGCAUCGAUCGGUGAGUGAUGAAUAAACUUUUAAAAUUAGAGUAAUAGAUCUGUGACAAAAUUGUACUUCAUAUAUAAUGUAGAAAUGUUUGCUAUAAUGCUGCAAUAAUAAAUAACAUUUAGAUAUCAUAUUUAUUUCAUGGAUCUAUUGCUUUAAAGUGGAUUGACUAAAACAGAUCAGGAUUUAACAUUUAAUCCUGAAUGAAUGAUAUACAUUAACUUAUCAUGCAUAUUUAAUUUAUUAAAUAAUUUUUUUCGACGCCGUUGCAGUCUCGGCGAGGGUUAGGUAUGUGUUCAACAUCAUCAAAUAUAAAUUACAAGUAUAAUAAAAAAUAUAUAAUGUAUCUUGCACGUAUGCGCACAAUUAGAAACUGCGCGCCGUUUCGUCUCUGAUAAAUUCCGUCAAAUAACUAAAAUAGAAUAAAAUAAAUGCCGUUCAACUAAAUUUAACUAUAAACUUGAAAUGUUUUAAACUCCCUUUUAAAAUUUUAUUUCUUUCUGGGGUAAUAACAGCCGCUAUAAUUAAUCAUACGAAUAGGUAGAAAUAUUAAUAUAUAGAAAUAUGUAAAAAAUAAAUAGGUAUUAGAAAAUAGAUAGAAAACGGAUAAGAAUACUCUAUGUAAAUAGAUACGAAAAAAUUAUGUAAAUGCUUUUUUUAAUUUUAUAGAAACAAUCUGUGUAAUUAAAAAUUAUAUGAUUGUUAUUGUUAUAAUGUUAUGUAAUUAAAAAUUAUAUACUAAUGCCCGAUAUAUUACAGGAAAUCAGAACAUGAUAUACGAUAAUACAUCACAAUUUAUUAAAUUAGCGUGUUAAAUUUAUAUACUUUUCACUUUAUAUUUUCUUAAUAUUUUAAUGUUUGUUCUUAAUUUUCUUCUAAUUUUGUUUCUAAACUUUUAUUCUUUGUUUAUAUCUUUAUUCUUUAAUACCAGAAUAUUUAAUACAAAUGGUGAAUUUUAAUAUUGUUGUAUUUAUUUCGUCGCUUUUAUGUAAUGUGGUGAAAAUAUAUUGUAAAAUGUAUUGUAAAAUAUUUUAUAAUUUGUAAUUUAUUAAUUUUAUUUUUAAUAUUUAAUAUGAAAUAAAUUCUAACUUAUAUAAAUUGUAAUAAAUAUAUUGUAAAAUUAUACUGUAUUCUUUAUGCAUUUGCUGUAAAUUUAUUUUACUAUGUUGUAUUAUUGAAUUAUGUAACAAAAAAUAAUAAUAAAAUAAAAAAAACACAUUUAAAGAAAGAGGACCGUCGACUAAGAAUCGACGGGGGUGGUGGAGGGCCUCUACAGGUUGAUCCGUUUUUACCGAGUAAAAUUUUAAUUAGAAAUUACAUUAAAAACAUAAUCUUUAGUUAAGAAAAUGUUGUCAUUUAUCCUGUAAAAUUUCAUUUGGUAAAAACAGAUCAAAUUUAACCAAAAUAUAUUCAAUCACAAUAAUAUACGGUAAAAA